UAUUCCAUUCAUUUGGGUGCAGGCACAGGUAGGAGGCGUAUGGCGGUAUUUUUGGCAAGCAUUUUUCUGCUUGCCGAUAAUAUAUGGCAUAUGCCUGGUCUGACGUUAGCCUUAAGGAUUAGUUUCUGUUUUAAAUCUUGAACACUGCCUGAAUGUAUAAUGCUGCCUGUUAAGUUUGGUGGAGGCAGAAUAAUACUCUAUUCUUUAUGGUUACUGCUGGGGCAUCUGGUACUUAAACAACAACCUUAAUUGUACACAAGAAAAUCAUAUUAUACAAGAUUUUCUUUUCCUGGACUGGAACAUGUGGAUUGCCAGAAAAAAAACUUCUCCCCUGGCCGCCAUCUUAAAACUACUGAAGUCUCCACUAUUGGGUGGGAAGUAAUGUCCACUGCCAUGUUCCAGUCCAGGAAAAGAAAAUCUUGGUAAGUAUGAUAUGACUUUCUUGUUUACUGUUCUUUUCACAUAACACUGGGCCGAUAACGGGAUGUACCAAAGGCCAAACAAGAGGACCACGGUUGGGGUAAAGAGAUAAAAAAUUUUCAGCGAGUAGAGCAGACUGGAGGACAGCUGACCCAAAAGAAGCAGACUUCUUAAAAAACACAUCAAAUUUGUAAUGGUUAAAGAAAGUAUGGAAAGAGGACCACGUUGCAGCUUUGCAGAUAUCUUCUGAUGAAGCCCUGGCUUGGAAUGCCCAGGAUGCCGCCAUAGCCCAGGUAGAGUGUGCUCUGACAGAGUAGGGCAUAACACUGGAUUGAGAUAUGUACGCAGUCAGGAUACAUAGCUUGAUCCAAUUGGCAAUAGUAGAAUUGUGGAAGGUUGAGUUCCUGCUCUCUGUCCUGGUUGGAUAAUCAAAAGGGAGUUAGUCUUCCUGAAGGGUUUAACUCUAGAGAGACAGAUCUCGAGACAUCUUUUAACAUCCAAGGUGUGCCAGGCAGCCUCCUGGUCAGAAUUUAGGUGAGAAAAGAAACAAGGCAGAACAAUGUCAUGUGAGAUGUGAAUUGUAAAAUUAUUUUGCUUUCUUUAGGAUGACCCUAUCCUAAAGAAAGAUGAUUUUCCCUUCUGAACUGGAUAAAGCAUGAAUCUCACCAACUCUUCUACCCAAGUUGGUGGAGGAGUUUACUCUCAAUAAAGGCCACAUGCCCUGAGUUCUCAGGUUUCCAAAAUGGGCACCCCAUCCUGUUCUGUUGGCAUCCAUUGUGAUGAUGAUCCAGGACAGAGGAUGAAGACUGACCAGAAUGCUCAAGUUAAAAUUUUUGGACAGGUCCAUGGAAGGAAAUUGACGUGCAGAGCGGAGCCAAGUACCCAGUAACCCAAGAAAUAUCCCAGCAAAGAACGAGUGGGGCGCUGAAGUGACGUCCAGGAAUGGAGCAAUCGAAUUGCUGGGUUGGAAGCUGACAUGCCUGUCUCAGAUCCCCACAUCCAUGGUUCAUUCUGCUGAAGGCGGAGAGAACAGAACCAGAAAAGCACAGGAGAGGAAGAAAAGAGAAAGCGAGUGAUAACCUGCAAAGCAGAAAAAAAGAAGUUUAAAUACUAAAUUAUUAAUAAGUGCUUGCCCAUUCAGUCUUAUAUCCCUCAGCCAUUUUGUUUACUUUCUACCAUACUAUGUACGUGCCUGUUCAAAAUACAGUAAAAACAAAUAUCUCUAUA
Molecule: long non-coding RNA, 1647 nt
Organism: Xenopus tropicalis (tropical clawed frog)
Lineage: Eukaryota; Metazoa; Chordata; Amphibia; Anura; Pipidae
Exons: 3
Source: RefSeq, a predicted model, not a curated record